Molecule: ribosomal RNA, 292 nt
Filed under: uncultured bacterium
Lineage: Bacteria
Description: partial 16S ribosomal RNA
Rfam family: Bacterial small subunit ribosomal RNA
Source: RNAcentral
GUGCCAGCCGCCGCGGUAAUACGGGGGGUGCGAGCGUUGUCCGGAUUCACUGGGCGUAAAGGGCGCGUAGGCGGCCGGGUCAGUCGGGCCUGUAAGUGCGGGGCUCAACCCCGUGAUGGGCUCGGGACGGCCCGGCUGGGGCGCGGUCGAGGGAGACGGAAUGCCGGGUGUAGUGGUGAAAUGCGUAGAGAUCCGGCGGAACACCGGUGGUGAAGACGGUCUCCUGGGCCGAGGGCCGACGCUGAGGCGCGAGAGCGUGGGGAGCGAACCGGAUUAGAAACCCUUGUAGUCC